AUAUACGUCCAAAAUAGUGAAUCCAUGAACAAUAGAUCAAUGGAAGAAGUAAUCUAAUGACGUUAGACUGCAAAGACCUUCUUCACAUAACCAUAAUGUCUAAAAGGUUCUUGGUCAUAGGAUUGUCAGAGGGACACUGACAAUACCUAGACCAGUACAUACUAUGUCCCCUUCAAAUAGGAAGGAUGGAAAGUCUCAAGCCAUUCGUGUAGUGACACUACAAAAAGUAUGUAGGUGCUCAUUAAAGGAAUGAGUUCACUGAACACAAUCAAACAAGAGUACUUGCAUGGAGGUCUACUCACAUGUCAAGCAAGUAACUCUAUUGGUUGGAAUAAUGAAAGUAAUCCUUUGACUGGAGACGUCAUAGUUGUCUUGGGGAUACGUUGCUGAUCAUUUGAUAAUGAGACGUGACCAUAUCUUAUCUUGGAUGUGUUCUAUGCAUUGUUGGGGUCAGUGAUUUAUUCUCAGAGGCAUGUGAAUGAUCAAUAAGGGAUCUCUAAUCCUCGUUAUGAGAGGAAGAAUACUCUUAUAUAUGAUUUAGGAAUCUUCGGCCGAAGUAUUGAGAGUAAUGAUGGAAGGUGUUCCUAUACGACUCAAUUCAAUCAUAUAACUUGGUAUAAUCACAUUACGGGUUUGACAUUAACUAUCCAUACCCUAGUAAUGUGAUUGUGAGUAUUGUAUUAAAGAAGGAUGGAAUUACAUUGUAUUUCCAAAUCUAUCAAGGUGGAGGAAACAAGUAGGGAAGCUAGACUCAAAGAGUUCCAAGAAUAAAGAGCUUGGAGGUGGUCUAUCCCUGGUCUAAAGUCUAGAUCAAGAGGUAUAAAACUCAACCUUCACUUUGUUCUUCAAAAUUUUGUGUGAUGCAUCAUAUAUGAACCUAUGCUUCUUGAGGGGAUUUGCAUGACUAUAGCUUUGAUAAUAUGUGAUAAUAUGCUUCCGUUGUUUAUGUAUAUAAAUUUAGAAUUGUAUAUGCAUGCUAGUCACUUGAAAUCCCACUAUAAAUCUCAUUAUUUCACCUUCUGAUCAGACUUAGCUUGGGUCCUCCCCUCGAGCUCAGAAUCAGAAGAUUAUACAACAUAAGAUCUUGCCCGACGAGGAACCCUAGUCUUUGCUUCGGACCCAUCUUUUGUCUCUAAUUCACUAAACAUCUCUGAGAUGUUCCCAACAUCCUUAGGAACAUAGCUCGAG
Molecule: long non-coding RNA, 1188 nt
Filed under: Malus domestica (apple)
Lineage: Eukaryota; Viridiplantae; Streptophyta; Magnoliopsida; Rosales; Rosaceae
Description: long non-coding RNA (MDOM_LNC000212)
Source: RNAcentral